GAGUUUGAUCCUGGCUCAGGACGAACGCUGGCGGCGUGCUUAACACAUGCAAGUCGAACGGAAAGGCCGGGUGCUUGCACCCGGUACUCGAGUGGCGAACGGGUGAGUAACACGUGGGUGAUCUGCCCUGCACUUCGGGAUAAGCCUGGGAAACUGGGUCUAAUACCGGAUAGGACCACUGGUUGGUACUGGUGGUGGAAAGUUUUUCGGUGCAGGAUGAGCUCGCGGCCUAUCAGCUUGUUGGUGGGGUAAUGGCCUACCAAGGCGGCGACGGGUAGCCGGCCUGAGAGGGUGGACGGCCACAUUGGGACUGAGACACGGCCCAGACUCCUACGGGAGGCAGCAGUGGGGAAUAUUGCACAAUGGGCGCAAGCCUGAUGCAGCGACGCCGCGUGGGGGAUGACGGCCUUCGGGUUGUAAACUCCUUUCAACCAUGACGAAGCUUUUGUGACGGUAGUGGAGAAGAAGCC
This 470-nucleotide ribosomal RNA is filed under the name uncultured Corynebacterium sp. RNAcentral describes it as "bacterial SSU rRNA". It matches the Rfam family "Bacterial small subunit ribosomal RNA", at positions 9 to 492 of the family's 1533-position model. The record is from RNAcentral. Lineage: Bacteria; Bacillati; Actinomycetota; Actinomycetes; Mycobacteriales; Corynebacteriaceae.